This 2911-nucleotide ribosomal RNA is filed under the name Staphylococcus aureus. RNAcentral describes it as "bacterial LSU rRNA". It matches the Rfam family "Bacterial large subunit ribosomal RNA". The record is from RNAcentral. Lineage: Bacteria; Bacillati; Bacillota; Bacilli; Caryophanales; Staphylococcaceae.
UUAAGGGCGCACGGUGGAUGCCUUGGCACUAGAAGCCGAUGAAGGACGUUACUAACGACGAUAUGCUUUGGGGAGCUGUAAGUAAGCUUUGAUCCAGAGAUUUCCGAAUGGGGAAACCCAGCAUGAGUUAUGUCAUGUUAUCGAUAUGUGAAUACAUAGCAUAUCAGAAGGCACACCCGGAGAACUGAAACAUCUUAGUAACCGGAGGAAGAGAAAGAAAAUUCGAUUCCCUUAGUAGCGGCGAGCGAAACGGGAAGAGCCCAAACCAACAAGCUUGCUUGUUGGGGUUGUAGGACACUCUAUACGGAGUUACAAAGGACGACAUUAGACGAAUCAUCUGGAAAGAUGAAUCAAAGAAGGUAAUAAUCCUGUAGUCGAAAAUGUUGUCUCUCUUGAGUGGAUCCUGAGUACGACGGAGCACGUGAAAUUCCGUCGGAAUCUGGGAGGACCAUCUCCUAAGGCUAAAUACUCUCUAGUGACCGAUAGUGAACCAGUACCGUGAGGGAAAGGUGAAAAGCACCCCGGAAGGGGAGUGAAAUAGAACCUGAAACCGUGUGCUUACAAGUAGUCAGAGCCCGUUAAUGGGUGAUGGCGUGCCUUUUGUAGAAUGAACCGGCGAGUUACGAUUUGAUGCAAGGUUAAGCAGUAAAUGUGGAGCCGUAGCGAAAGCGAGUCUGAAUAGGGCGUUUAGUAUUUGGUCGUAGACCCGAAACCAGGUGAUCUACCCUUGGUCAGGUUGAAGUUCAGGUAACACUGAAUGGAGGACCGAACCGACUUACGUUGAAAAGUGAGCGGAUGAACUGAGGGUAGCGGAGAAAUUCCAAUCGAACCUGGAGAUAGCUGGUUCUCUCCGAAAUAGCUUUAGGGCUAGCCUCAAGUGAUGAUUAUUGGAGGUAGAGCACUGUUUGGACGAGGGGCCCCUCUCGGGUUACCGAAUUCAGACAAACUCCGAAUGCCAAUUAAUUUAACUUGGGAGUCAGAACAUGGGUGAUAAGGUCCGUGUUCGAAAGGGAAACAGCCCAGACCACCAGCUAAGGUCCCAAAAUAUAUGUUAAGUGGAAAAGGAUGUGGCGUUGCCCAGACAACUAGGAUGUUGGCUUAGAAGCAGCCAUCAUUUAAAGAGUGCGUAAUAGCUCACUAGUCGAGUGACACUGCGCCGAAAAUGUACCGGGGCUAAACAUAUUACCGAAGCUGUGGAUUGUCCUUUGGACAAUGGUAGGAGAGCGUUCUAAGGGCGUUGAAGCAUGAUCGUAAGGACAUGUGGAGCGCUUAGAAGUGAGAAUGCCGGUGUGAGUAGCGAAAGACGGGUGAGAAUCCCGUCCACCGAUUGACUAAGGUUUCCAGAGGAAGGCUCGUCCGCUCUGGGUUAGUCGGGUCCUAAGCUGAGGCCGACAGGCGUAGGCGAUGGAUAACAGGUUGAUAUUCCUGUACCACCUAUAAUCGUUUUAAUCGAUGGGGGGACGCAGUAGGAUAGGCGAAGCGUGCGAUUGGAUUGCACGUCUAAGCAGUAAGGCUGAGUAUUAGGCAAAUCCGGUACUCGUUAAGGCUGAGCUGUGAUGGGGAGAAGACAUUGUGUCUUCGAGUCGUUGAUUUCACACUGCCGAGAAAAGCCUCUAGAUAGAAAAUAGGUGCCCGUACCGCAAACCGACACAGGUAGUCAAGAUGAGAAUUCUAAGGUGAGCGAGCGAACUCUCGUUAAGGAACUCGGCAAAAUGACCCCGUAACUUCGGGAGAAGGGGUGCUCUUUAGGGUUAACGCCCAGAAGAGCCGCAGUGAAUAGGCCCAAGCGACUGUUUAUCAAAAACACAGGUCUCUGCUAAACCGUAAGGUGAUGUAUAGGGGCUGACGCCUGCCCGGUGCUGGAAGGUUAAGAGGAGUGGUUAGCUUCUGCGAAGCUACGAAUCGAAGCCCCAGUAAACGGCGGCCGUAACUAUAACGGUCCUAAGGUAGCGAAAUUCCUUGUCGGGUAAGUUCCGACCCGCACGAAAGGCGUAACGAUUUGGGCACUGUCUCAACGAGAGACUCGGUGAAAUCAUAGUACCUGUGAAGAUGCAGGUUACCCGCGACAGGACGGAAAGACCCCGUGGAGCUUUACUGUAGCCUGAUAUUGAAAUUCGGCACAGCUUGUACAGGAUAGGUAGGAGCCUUUGAAACGUGAGCGCUAGCUUACGUGGAGGCGCUGGUGGGAUACUACCCUAGCUGUGUUGGCUUUCUAACCCGCACCACUUAUCGUGGUGGGAGACAGUGUCAGGCGGGCAGUUUGACUGGGGCGGUCGCCUCCUAAAAGGUAACGGAGGCGCUCAAAGGUUCCCUCAGAAUGGUUGGAAAUCAUUCAUAGAGUGUAAAGGCAUAAGGGAGCUUGACUGCGAGACCUACAAGUCGAGCAGGGUCGAAAGACGGACUUAGUGAUCCGGUGGUUCCGCAUGGAAGGGCCAUCGCUCAACGGAUAAAAGCUACCCCGGGGAUAACAGGCUUAUCUCCCCCAAGAGUUCACAUCGACGGGGAGGUUUGGCACCUCGAUGUCGGCUCAUCGCAUCCUGGGGCUGUAGUCGGUCCCAAGGGUUGGGCUGUUCGCCCAUUAAAGCGGUACGCGAGCUGGGUUCAGAACGUCGUGAGACAGUUCGGUCCCUAUCCGUCGUGGGCGUAGGAAAUUUGAGAGGAGCUGUCCUUAGUACGAGAGGACCGGGAUGGACAUACCUCUGGUGUACCAGUUGUCGUGCCAACGGCAUAGCUGGGUAGCUAUGUGUGGACGGGAUAAGUGCUGAAAGCAUCUAAGCAUGAAGCCCCCCUCAAGAUGAGAUUUCCCAACUUCGGUUAUAAGAUCCCUCAAAGAUGAUGAGGUUAAUAGGUUCGAGGUGGAAGCAUGGUGACAUGUGGAGCUGACGAAUACUAAUCGAUCGAAGACUUAAUC